RNAcentral lists this ribosomal RNA (2173 nucleotides) under Escherichia coli. RNAcentral describes it as "partial 23S ribosomal RNA". It matches the Rfam family "Bacterial large subunit ribosomal RNA", at positions 1 to 2188 of the family's 2925-position model. The record is from RNAcentral. Lineage: Bacteria; Pseudomonadati; Pseudomonadota; Gammaproteobacteria; Enterobacterales; Enterobacteriaceae.
GGGUUGUGAGGUUAAGCGACUAAGCGUACACGGUGGAUGCCCUGGCAGUCAGAGGCGAUGAAGGACGUGCUAAUCUGCGAUAAGCGUCGGUAAGGUGAUAUGAACCGUUAUAACCGGCGAUUUCCGAAUGGGGAAACCCAGUGUGAUUCGUCACACUAUCAUUAACUGAAUCCAUAGGUUAAUGAGGCGAACCGGGGGAACUGAAACAUCUAAGUACCCCGAGGAAAAGAAAUCAACCGAGAUUCCCCCAGUAGCGGCGAGCGAACGGGGAGCAGCCCAGAGCCUGAAUCAGUGUGUGUGUUAGUGGAAGCGUCUGGAAAGGCGCGCGAUACAGGGUGACAGCCCCGUACACAAAAAUGCACAUACUGUGAGCUCGAUGAGUAGGGCGGGACACGUGGUAUCCUGUCUGAAUAUGGGGGGACCAUCCUCCAAGGCUAAAUACUCCUGACUGACCGAUAGUGAACCAGUACCGUGAGGGAAAGGCGAAAAGAACCCCGGCGAGGGGAGUGAAAAAGAACCUGAAACCGUGUACGUACAAGCAGUGGGAGCACAGAGCAAUCUGUGUGACUGCGUACCUUUUGUAUAAUGGGUCAGCGACUUAUAUUCUGUAGCAAGGUUAACCGAAUAGGGGAGCCGAAGGGAAACCGAGUCUUAACUGGGCGUUAAGUUGCAGGGUAUAGACCCGAAACCCGGUGAUCUAGCCAUGGGCAGGUUGAAGGUUGGGUAACACUAACUGGAGGACCGAACCGACUAAUGUUGAAAAAUUAGCGGAUGACUUGUGGCUGGGGGUGAAAGGCCAAUCAAACCGGGAGAUAGCUGGUUCUCCCCGAAAGCUAUUUAGGUAGCGCCUCGUGAAUUCAUCUCCGGGGGUAGAGCACUGUUUCGGCAAGGGGGUCAUCCCGACUUACCAACCCGAUGCAAACUGCGAAUACCGGAGAAUGUUAUCACGGGAGACACACGGCGGGUGCUAACGUCCGUCGUGAAGAGGGAAACAACCCAGACCGCCAGCUAAGGUCCCAAAGUCAUGGUUAAGUGGGAAACGAUGUGGGAAGGCCCAGACAGCCAGGAUGUUGGCUUAGAAGCAGCCAUCAUUUAAAGAAAGCGUAAUAGCUCACUGGUCGAGUCGGCCUGCGCGGAAGAUGUAACGGGGCUAAACCAUGCACCGAAGCUGCGGCAGCGACGCUGAUGCGUUGUUGGGUAGGGGAGCGUUCUGUAAGCCUGUGAAGGUGUGCUGUGAGGCAUGCUGGAGGUAUCAGAAGUGCGAAUGCUGACAUAAGUAACGAUAAAGCGGGUGAAAAGCCCGCUCGCCGGAAGACCAAGGGUUCCUGUCCAACGUUAAUCGGGGCAGGGUGAGUCGACCCCUAAGGCGAGGCCGAAAGGCGUAGUCGAUGGGAAACAGGUUAAUAUUCCUGUACUUGGUGUUACUGCGAAGGGGGGACGGAGAAGGCUAUGUUGGCCGGGCGACGGUUGUCCCGGUUUAAGCGUGUAGGCUGGUUUUCCAGGCAAAUCCGGAAAAUCAAGGCUGAGGCGUGAUGACGAGGCACUACGGUGCUGAAGCAACAAAUGCCCUGCUUCCAGGAAAAGCCUCUAAGCAUCAGGUAACAUCAAAUCGUACCCCAAACCGACACAGGUGGUCAGGUAGAGAAUACCAAGGCGCUUGAGAGAACUCGGGUGAAGGAACUAGGCAAAAUGGUGCCGUAACUUCGGGAGAAGGCACGCUGAUAUGUAGGUGAAGUCCCUCGCGGAUGGAGCUGAAAUCAGUCGAAGAUACCAGCUGGCUGCAACUGUUUAUUAAAAACACAGCACUGUGCAAACACGAAAGUGGACGUAUACGGUGUGACGCCUGCCCGGUGCCGGAAGGUUAAUUGAUGGGGUCAGCGCAAGCGAAGCUCUUGAUCGAAGCCCCGGUAAACGGCGGCCGUAACUAUAACGGUCCUAAGGUAGCGAAAUUCCUUGUCGGGUAAGUUCCGACCUGCACGAAUGGCGUAAUGAUGGCCAGGCUGUCUCCACCCGAGACUCAGUGAAAUUGAACUCGCUGUGAAGAUGCAGUGUACCCGCGGCAAGACGGAAAGACCCCGUGAACCUUUACUAUAGCUUGACACUGAACAUUGAGCCUUGAUGUGUAGGAUAGGUGGGAGGCUUUGAAGUGUGGACGCCAGUCUGCAUGGAGCCG